Molecule: transfer RNA, 75 nt
Filed under: Streptomyces antibioticus
Lineage: Bacteria; Bacillati; Actinomycetota; Actinomycetes; Kitasatosporales; Streptomycetaceae
Description: tRNA-Arg
Source: RNAcentral
CGGGGGGGGCAGCAGCUCGGUAGCUCGCCGGAAUCCUGACCCGGAGGUCGCGUGGUUCAAAUACCGCCCCCUUAC